Long non-coding RNA from Oncorhynchus tshawytscha (Chinook salmon), 1979 nucleotides. RefSeq lists it as uncharacterized. The record is from RefSeq and is a predicted model, not a curated record. Lineage: Eukaryota; Metazoa; Chordata; Actinopteri; Salmoniformes; Salmonidae. The transcript is spliced from 2 exons.
AGAGAGAAAGAGAGAGAGAGAGAGAGGGAACAAGAGAGAGAAAGAGAGAGAGAGAGAGAGAGAGGAACAAGAGAGAGAGAGAGAGAGAGAGAUUGGGAAAGGGAGAGUGACUGGAGAAAAGAGAUUAGAUGAAGGAUAUGGAGGGAAAGCAAGAAGGAAAGAGACAAGGAAAUAGAGAGUGUGGAUGAGGACAGACCGAUCAGGUGAAGGAGAAGAAGAGAGAGAGAGAGAUGGAGGCAGACAUGGUGAAAGGCGAGUGAUGGGAAGAGGAUUGUGAACUCUGCAACAAGCCAAAUGAUGGACUAAUGGAAGUAACAAUGGAACAAGGAGUUUGAAGAAGGGCCUGAGGAGUGGGGUCAAACAUCCAUCUUUGGAUUCCUCUUUUUGGCCCACACCAUGUGAACACUCCAUCCUAGGGAGGAGAGGAGAAAGGGAUGGAAAAGGGAGUGAAGGAGACUAAAGAGUAACAUUAUAAAAGUAACCAAUGUGCAAUAUAUGGCAAGGGUACCUACUAAAACUAUACACGAACACACACACACACACACACACUUUCUUCACUCGUUUGACAAAACACAGCUCGUCUCUCCUCAGCCUAUGACUCACUCAUACAUACACGUCUUUCUCACCCUUAAUCACUUUUGUGUUUGUUUUAUUUUAAAAGAACUGAAACCGCAUCGCACCACUACAGUGAAGUGUGUUUUAAAACAUUUCUUUUAGAGGUCGUAGUAGAGAUGUGUUUGUACAGUAUUUAUGUUUUUGAUUUUAGCUUUUGUAUUUUUUACAGCUUAAUUUAUAGAUUUCUUUUUCUUUCUUUCUUUGUCUCUAAGAGAUUGUGAUUUACAAGAUCUCUGACACACACACACAAACCAGUGUCCUCAAGUUCAGGCUCAAGUGGUGAUAGUGUUUAAUGUCUCCAAGCCAUGAGAACUACCCUGCAAACUAUCUGUGUCACCUUCAACCACUCCAACCGAAUGCAAUAGCAUUAGGCUAAUUUCCCCACUGUGAGCCAAUGAAGAGGCUAACCGAUUAUCAGACGCGACAGGUAGCCUAGCGGUUAAGAGUAACCAAAAGGUUGCUGGUUUGAAUCCCCGUGGCGACUAGGUGACAAAAAAUCUGACAAUGGGCCCUUGAGCAAGGCACAACUCUAAUUGCUCCUGUAAGUCGCUCUGGAUAAGAGCGUCUGCUAAAUUACUAAAAAUGUAAAUAUAAUCGGAUGGUCCUUGGAUAUUCAACUGCUGCUAGCUGUGUCUCUGUGUAGAGGUAUGUUAGUGGAGCAGCCUGUCUCUGUGUAGAGGUAUGUUAGUGGAGCAGCCUGUCUCUGUGUACUUGCUAAGUGUUCUGUACUUUAGCCAAGUGUGGAAUAAUUGUUGUUUAUUCUGUCCAUGUUGUGUUGUCACAUUGGGUAGAUGGUGUGUCACAUUAUAUUUCCAUGGUCCCCUCCACCCACCUUUGUUUUCACAGUAACUGCGUACUACAUUUAUAGACACUACAUUGUAGAAUAUGAAGCAUGCUAGCUUUCAUGUUAAUCAAGUAACAGAAUUGAGUAGGAUAUCACUGUGGUAAAGACAUUCAUAAUUGACCAUUCACACUACUUCUAACCAUCAUAAUAAGUUUAUGCUGCCAUCCCAGUAAAUUUCAGUAGCCUUUCUGCCAGUGUGUGAAAGAAGUCUAUUGCGUCAUGUAAAUAUUGGUAUAUAUUGCUGUUUUGUCUGUAAAUAGUGCACCCACUGUCCUCAAUUGUUGAUAUGAAUCUAAUGGCAUAUUUUUAUAUACUUGUGUGUGUUUUUUCUCCUCUGGCAUGCGCUGUCAAUCACGUUUAAAUUAUAACUGCCACAAAAUGACAACAAGAGAAAGAAAACAGCGUCUAUGGUUAUACUUCAGUUGUCAUGGUUACUUCACCGUUUUCUUCCUGUAGCUGUUUCUGUUUCGUCACUUCGGGUUCUUCUUUGGAAUUAAAUCAUGUCACUGGUGCCAGACUA